AGUUUAGUAUUGGAGAAGAUUAGA
RNAcentral lists this non-coding RNA (24 nucleotides) under Cricetulus griseus (Chinese hamster). The record is from RNAcentral. Lineage: Eukaryota; Metazoa; Chordata; Mammalia; Rodentia; Cricetidae.